UGUUGCCAUCGAUUCGGUCGGGAACUCAAAGGAGACUGCCGUUGAUAAAGCGGAGGAAGGUGGGGACGACGUCAAGUCAUCAUGGCCCUUACGACCAGGGCUACACACGUGCUACAAUGGCGUAUACAAAGGGAGGCGACCUCGCGAGAGUAAGCGGACCUCAUAAAAUACGUCUAAGUCCGGAUUGGAGUCUGCAACUCGACUCCAUGAAGUCGGAAUCGCUAGUAAUCGUGAAUCAGAAUGUCACGGUGAAUACGUUCCCGGGCCUUGUACACACCGCCCGUCACACCAUGGGAGUGGGUUGCACCAGAAGUAGAUAGCUUAACCUUCGGGAGGGCGUUUACCACGGUGUGGUUCAUGACUGGGGUGAAGUCGUAACAAGGUAACCGUAGGGGAACCUGCGGUUGGAUCACCUCCUUAC
RNAcentral lists this ribosomal RNA (421 nucleotides) under Gilliamella sp. Choc5-1. RNAcentral's name for it is "bacterial SSU rRNA". It matches the Rfam family "Bacterial small subunit ribosomal RNA", at positions 1113 to 1533 of the family's 1533-position model. The record is from RNAcentral. Lineage: Bacteria; Pseudomonadati; Pseudomonadota; Gammaproteobacteria; Orbales; Orbaceae.